CCUACGGGAGGCAGCAGUGAGGAAUAUUGGUCAAUGGACGAGAGUCUGAACCAGCCAAGUAGCGUGAAGGAUGACUGUCCUAUGGGUUGUAAACCUCUUUUAUAUGGGAGUAAAAUGCUCCACGUGUGGGAUAUUGUAUGUACCAUAUGAAUAAGGAUCGGCUAACUCCGUGCCAGCAGCCGCGGUAAUACGGAGGAUCCGAGCGUUAUCCGGAUUUAUUGGGCUUAAAGGGUGCGUAGGUGGAUUGGUAAGUCAGUUGUGAAAGUUUGCGGCUUAACCGUAGAAUUGCAGUUGAAACUGGCAGUCUUGAGUACGGGAGAGGUAGGCGGAAUUCGUGGUGUAGCGGUGAAAUGCUUAGAUAUCACGAAGAACCCCGAUUGCGAAGGCAGCUUACUAGACUGUAACUGACAUUGAUGCUCGAAAGUGUGGGUAUCAAACAGGAUUAGAUACCCGUGUAGUC
Molecule: ribosomal RNA, 460 nt
Filed under: uncultured bacterium
Lineage: Bacteria
Description: partial 16S ribosomal RNA
Rfam family: Bacterial small subunit ribosomal RNA
Source: RNAcentral